RNAcentral lists this ribosomal RNA (274 nucleotides) under uncultured bacterium. RNAcentral describes it as "partial 16S ribosomal RNA". It matches the Rfam family "Bacterial small subunit ribosomal RNA", at positions 523 to 796 of the family's 1533-position model. The record is from RNAcentral.
AUACGGAGGGAGCAAGCGUUAUUCGGAAUCACUGGGCGUAAAGGACGCGUAGGCGGGUUUGUAAGUCAGGUGUGAAAUCCUACGGCUCAACUGUAGAACUGCACUUGAAACUACAGACCUAGAGUAUGGAAGGGGCAGAUGGAAUUAGUGGUGUAGGGGUAAAAUCCGUAGAUAUCACUAGGAAUACCGAAAGCGAAGGCGAUCUGCUGGGACAUUACUGACGCUGAGGCGUGAAAGCGUGGGGAGCAAACAGGAUUAGAAACCCCAGUAGUCC